RNAcentral lists this ribosomal RNA (433 nucleotides) under uncultured bacterium. RNAcentral's name for it is "partial 16S ribosomal RNA". It matches the Rfam family "Bacterial small subunit ribosomal RNA", at positions 36 to 507 of the family's 1533-position model. The record is from RNAcentral.
ACCUCCCUCUGGCGGCAUGCCUAACACAUGCAAGUCGAACGAGACCUUCGGGUCUAGUGGCGCACGGGUGCGUAACGCGUGGGAACCUGCCCUUAGGUUCGGAAUAACUCCCCGAAAGGGGUGCUAAUACCGGAUAAUGUCUUCGGACCAAAGAUUUAUCGCCUUUGGAUGGGCCCGAGUUGGAUUAGCUAGUUGGUAGGGUAAAAGCCUACCAAGGCGACGAUCCAUAGCUGGUCUGAGAGGAUGAUCAGCCACACUGGGACUGAGACACGGCCCAGACUCCUACGGGAGGCAGCAGUGGGGAAUAUUGGACAAUGGGCGGAAGCCUGAUCCAGCAAUGCCGCGUGAGUGAUGAAGGCCUUAGGGUUGUAAAGCUCUUUUACCCGGGAUGAUAAUGACAGUACCGGGAGAAUAAGCUCCGGCUAACUCCGUG